GGCGAACGGGUGAGUAAUGUAUCGGAACGUGCCCAGUAGCGGGGGAUAACUACGCGAAAGCGUAGCUAAUACCGCAUACGCCCUACGGGGGAAAGGGGGGGAUCGCAAGACCUCUCACUAUUGGAGCGGCCGAUAUCGGAUUAGCUAGUUGGUGAGGUAAAGGCUCACCAAGGCUUCGAUCCGUAGCUGGUUUGAGAGGACGACCAGCCACACUGGGACUGAGACACGGCCCAGACUCCUACGGGAGGCAGCAGUGGGGAAUUUUGGACAAUGGGGGAAACCCUGAUCCAGCAAUGCCGCGUGUGCGAAGAAGGCCUUCGGGUUGUAAAGCACUUUUGGCAGGAACGAAACGGCGCCGGAUAAUACCUGGUGUCACUGACGGUACCUGCAGAAUAAGCACCGGCUAACUACGUG
RNAcentral lists this ribosomal RNA (414 nucleotides) under Pigmentiphaga sp. RNAcentral's name for it is "bacterial SSU rRNA". It matches the Rfam family "Bacterial small subunit ribosomal RNA", at positions 97 to 507 of the family's 1533-position model. The record is from RNAcentral. Lineage: Bacteria; Pseudomonadati; Pseudomonadota; Betaproteobacteria; Burkholderiales; Alcaligenaceae.